Triticum aestivum (bread wheat) is the source of this 4149-nucleotide RNA transcript. RefSeq lists it as uncharacterized. The transcript is spliced from 6 exons. NCBI's taxonomy places the organism in Eukaryota, Viridiplantae, Streptophyta, Magnoliopsida, Poales, Poaceae. The record is from RefSeq and is a predicted model, not a curated record.
GCCCCCCCCCCCCCCCCCCCGGUCCCCCCGACUCGACCUCGUACAGGCGCUCGACGGCGGCACGGCCACCUCGUCCAGGCGGUCCACAAAGUGCGCGCGUCGACGACAGGCUGCAGGACUCGCGCGGCAUCGAAGGCCCCUGACGGCCUGACCCUGAGUGCAGCCGCCAACUCGUCGUUGGCCAGAGAAGUGGAGCCGCCGGCUGGCCAGAGCGAGCAUUCGGCUCGCAUAGCCGCACACUGCCACGCCCCGUUCCAAGCUGAGCGCAUCCAAUACUGGCUAAGAUUUAAAAAUGAAGAGAAAAACUAUGAGUAUGCAUAGUUUUUAUGCAAGCAGUUCAAUUACCCCUCCCCAAAGGCCUGCUCCUCCCCCUACCGAUGUCGAACCUGAACUUGAACCAACUAAUGUGACUGCAAAUCCCCUCCCCUUAAUUGUUGUGGGCACAAUCCCUCCUCCUGAACGCCCAAAUGAAUCCCCAAAUGUUGAGAUGAAUCAUACCACAAUUGAUGAGAGUACAAACCAACCAAGGCAACCUAUACCAGAAUUUCAUCCAAGUCAAAUUAUUUCGGAUCCAGGACUUCGAAUACCAAUAGAAGAUUAUGCUCCUGAAAUUAGAAGUGAUGUGAGACGAGCUUAUUUGUUGAAAGGGAGAAACAAAGCUAUUGGGCAUAAUUUUGAAAAGACAAAGGAUGGUAAAAUUUGGAGAUCCUUUCAACCUGCGUGGUUUGAUACGUAUGAUUGGUUGGAAUAUAGUGUGGAAAAGGAGGCCGCCUUUUGCUACCAUUGCUUUCUUUUCAAGAAACCGUCACAAGCCAUUAGAUUUGGAAAUGAUGUUUUCACAAAAGAUGGUUACACUCGUUGGAAAACAGCCCUAAGUAAUUUCAGGAAGCAUGUUGGUGGUCCAUCUAGUUACCACAACAUUGCUAAGGGAGAUUGUGAUGAUUUCAACAAUCAGAGAGCAAGUGUGGCUACCCAAUUCCGUGUGUACAGCAAGGAGUCUGAGAUAUCUUAUAAAAUCCGCCUAACUGCAUCAUUGGAUUGUGCAAGGUAUCUCAUAGCACAAGGUGAAGCUUUUCGUGGGCAUGACGAAUCCUCCACUUCCAUCAACAAGGGCAAUUUCAGAGAGUUAUUGGACUGGUAUAAGGACAAGAAAGAAGAUGUGAAGGAGGCAUUUGAUAAGGGGCCAGGAAACACACAAAUGAUUUGUUCCGACAUCCAGAAGGACCUUGCUACAGCUUGUGCAAUGGAGGUAACCAAAGUUAUUAAGAAUGACAUUAGAGAUAAGAAUUUCUCAAUACUUAUUGAUGAAGCUAGAGAUUGCUCAAUAAAGGAGCAAAUGGCGGUGAUUGUCAGAUUUCUAGAUGAUCAUGGAGUGCUUCAAGAGCGAUUCCUUGCAAUUAAGCACAUCACAGAUUUUACAUCUGCUGGAAUUAAAAAAGCUUUGGUUGAUGUGUUGGAAUAUCAUGGUUUGUCAACUUCUAGGCUACGUGGUCAGGGUUAUGAUGGUGCUUUCAAUAUGAGAGGAAAUUCAACGGUUUGCAAAAACUGGUUAGAGAUGAAGCUCCGUAUGCAUUUUAUGUUCAUUGCUUUGCUCACCAGUUACAAUUGAUGGUUGUUAAUGUGGCUCAAUGUAGUCCUGCUAUUGCUGAUUUCUUCAACUAUAUUCCGUUGAUAGUUACUCAAGUGUGUUCAUCUUGCAAAAGGAAGGAUGCAUUACUUGCCAAACAUCAAGAUGAGUUGUUAGAUUUGAUGGAGAAUGGAAAGAUCACAGCCGGAACCGGGCUGCAUCAAGAAUCUAACAUAACAAGGCCAGGAGAUACUCGUUGGGGCUCACAUCUCAAAACUUUGCUUCGUAUAUUCACAAUGUGGAAUGCUGUGGUGGAGGUGCUAGGAAUUGUUGUGGUUGAUGCCCGAGAACACACAUGUCAAGGUGGAGCUAGAGGUUUGCUUAAAAACAUGGAAUGCUUUGAAUUUGUGUUCAUCAUGUUGUUCUUAAUAAACUUGUUGAGCAACACAAAUCAUCUAUCCCAAGCUUUGCAAAGAAAGAAUCAAAACAUUGUUGAAGCCAUGCGUUUGAUCUUGGAUGUGAAAGAAAGCUUGCAGAGCAUGAGGGACAAUGGGUGGGAGUCUUUAUUCUGCCAAGUCAAGAACUUUUGUGAAACACAUGGUAUUGAUGUGCCAAACAUGGAUGAUCUUGUUGGAGCUAUGGGUCAAUCUGUUCGCACUAAGAAUAAGGUGACUCGACUUCAUUAUUACAAGGUUAGCAUAUUCAAUGUUGCCAUUGAUGCAACUAUCACUGAGAUGAAUCACCGAUUCAAUGAAGUUUCCACCGAGUUAUUGGAUUGUAUGUCUUGUCUUAAUCCAGCAAACAACUUCUCAAAGUUUAACGUUGACAAACUUAUUCGGCUUGCUGAAAUUUAUGAUGAGGACUUCACAGAAGCUGAUCGGUUAAUGCUAGGAGUAGACCUCCCAAGAUUUCUUAUGAACAUUAGGAGAAGUGAAGAGUUUAAUGGAUGUUGGGAUGUGUCCACACUUGCUCGGUUGAUGGUUGAAACAAUGAAACACACAUCUUUCCAGUUGGUAUAUCGCCUCAUUGAGUUGACACUUAUUCUUCCUGUGGCCACUUCAUCCGUUGAGAGAAUAUUUUCAGCAAUGAAGAUAAUCAAGACAGAUUUGCGCAACAAACUAUCAGAUGAUUGGCUAAAUGAUUUGAUGGUGUGCUACUGCGAGAAAGAGAUAUUUAGAAGCAUUCCUGAUGACCAAAUCAUGAUACAAUUCCAGAAAAUGAGGGAUCGGAAAGGACAUUUGCCUCAUGAGUUUCAUGUGAUUUCUUAGAGAUGGCUUGCAGGAGGUGCCUUACGCAUACAGUACUAGUUAGAUAGACGGGUACGGGGUCCUUGCUUCGGGCCCAAGCGCGCUCCAACGGAUUGACGACGUUUCAUCAGAAUCAGAAGACGAAGGGGGGAUAGGUUUCCCUGCAGGAGGCACGUUUGCCGAGUCUGAUUCGAAUGAGGAAGAUCAGAUCCAGGUCAAUGGGAAGGCGCCCUCGAUCGGGUCGAGGUGCAGCGUGAAGAAGUUGCACGAGCUGAUUUCCUCAUUCGAUGACGAGAAAAGACAAUAUGUAGCCGAGAUGGAGUCUGGGGAGCUGCUGGAACUACCAAAGAUAACAAGGACGGAUAGGCAUUUUCUAAUGUCUAUCCUAAGUCACCUCGAUGAGGAGGCAAGUUCAAUUACAAUCGAUCACAAGCGCGACAUGCAAUUUUACGAUGAAGAUGUCAAUCUGGUCAUCGGCAUACCAUGUGGAACUGCUCCUGUUCGGCCUCCAGACCACUCUCUUCAGGAGGCGGUGGUGACAGAGAUCAAAGAGAUGUUUGGAAUCGCUCCAGCAUACUGCCAAUCGUCGAAGCUGUGAAGCCGCCAAUCGUUCAGGAGGCGGACUACCAUUCUCGAUCCUAUGAUUAACAACGGGGACAAACCAGUAGAUGAACUACGCAGCGAACACAUAAAAAUAGCGGACGAGCUAAGGGGGGCGCUGAUGGAAUGCAUAGCUGACUACUUCGAUGGUUGGACACCCAAGACAAAAGGAUGGCAGAAUUGGUUCCCAAAACUGACAACUGGCACCUGGGUUUGCAGCAGGGCUUCAAGCGGGAUCAUGGCGCUACAUUAUGCUAGGCAGUGGAUGGGGACAAAGCUACAAAGGACGUUAUCGCCGAUACGUAUAAUUAAACACUCAUGCUAGGAGUAAGGGGUUGGGGGGAGUGGAUUUUUCAUUUUGUUAACGGCGGCCUAGCUGACAUGUUCUCAUCAUUUUUAUCAUAGUUGGGGGAUGAGAUCGACCAAUCUAGGAUGAUUCAUUUUUAUGAAGUGUUGGGAUUAGCCGGCAAUAUCGGGCAACUCCCAACCAAAUUCAAAGACUUUGUCAGAAUGAUUGCUGAGAGGCACGCACAGAAGAUUUGCAGGAUUAUCGCUUCCAGCAUCAUCAGAACAUCUACGGAUGACUUAUGAGGCAUGUCACAACGAUUGCCAUUUAUCAAAAAUAAUGACCAGAGACUAGUAUUUUUCUUCCUAAAACAUUUUAUCGCAAGGAUAUGUAAUAAGAAUCUGAUGAUUUUGCUUCCUGCAUGUUUAGAAUGCGGGUUUUGUAUCGCA